RNAcentral lists this transfer RNA (73 nucleotides) under Stegodyphus mimosarum. It matches the Rfam family "tRNA". From Rfam's summary of the family: Transfer RNA (tRNA) molecules are approximately 80 nucleotides in length. Their secondary structure includes four short double-helical elements and three loops (D, anti-codon, and T loops). The record is from Rfam by way of RNAcentral. Lineage: Eukaryota; Metazoa; Arthropoda; Arachnida; Araneae; Eresidae.
GGGUUCGUGGUGUAACUGGAAACACGUCCGACGAGUAAUCGGAAGAUCCGGGGUUCGAGUCCCGGCGAAGGCA